AGAGUUUGAUCCUGGCUCAGGACGAACGCUGGCGGCAUGCCUAAUACAUGCAAGUCGAACGAGUGCUUGCACAGUGGCGAACUGGUGAGUAACACGUGGGAAAUCUGCCCAGAAGCAGGGGAUAACACUUGGAAACAGGUGCUAAUACCGUAUAACAACAAAUCCGCAUGGAUUUUGUUGAAAGGUGUUCGUAUCACUUCUGGAUGAUCCCGCGGCGUAUUAGUUAGUUGGUGAGGUAAAGGCCCACCAAGACGAUGAUACGUAGCCGACCUGAGAGGGUAAUCGGCCACAUUGGGACUGAGACACGGCCCAAACUCCUACGGGAGGCAGCAGUAGGGAAUCUUCCACAAUGGACGAAAGUCUGAUGGAGCAAUGCCGCGUGAGUGAAGAAGGGUUUCGGCUCGUAAAACUCUGUUGUUAAAGAAGAACACCUUUGAGGUAAUUCAAGGGUUGACGGUAUUUAACCAGAAAGCCACGGCUAACUACGUGCCAGCAGCCGCGGUAAUACGUAGGUGGCAAGCGUUGUCCGGAUUUAUUGGGCGUAAAGCGAGCGCAGGCGGUUUUUUAAGUCUGAUGUGAAAGCCUUCGGCUUAACCGGAGAAGUGCAUCGGAAACUGGGAGACUUGAGUGCAGAAGAGGACAGUGGAACUCCAUGUGUAGCGGUGGAAUGCGUAGAUAUAUGGAAGAACACCAGUGGCGAAGGCGGCUGUCUAGUCUGUAACUGACGCUGAGGCUCGAAAGCAUGGGUAGCGAACAGGAUUAGAUACCCUGGUAGUCCAUGCCGUAAACGAUGAGUGCUAAGUGUUGGAGGGUUUCCCCCUUCAGUGCUGCAGCUAACGCAUUAAGCACUCGGCUGGGGAGUACGA
RNAcentral lists this ribosomal RNA (866 nucleotides) under uncultured Lactobacillus sp. RNAcentral describes it as "bacterial SSU rRNA". It matches the Rfam family "Bacterial small subunit ribosomal RNA", at positions 8 to 885 of the family's 1533-position model. The record is from RNAcentral. Lineage: Bacteria; Bacillati; Bacillota; Bacilli; Lactobacillales; Lactobacillaceae.